GGAUGUGAGGGCAAUCUGGCUGUGACAUCUGUCACCCCAUUGAUUGCCAGGUUUGAUUCAGCUGAUCUGGCUGGCUAGGCAGGUGUCCCCUUCCUCCUUCACUGUUUGUGUGUUCCUUCCAAAGCUGCAUGCUUGGUCGAAGAGAAUAACCUUCCCCCGAUAGCAGAGGACUGCUCUUCGGUCAAGGGUAUAUGAGUAGCUGCAGUCCCCUGCUAGAACCUCCAAACAAGCUAUUAAUUACACAAGGCUGUCUCUGAGGAACCUAGUUAACCUGUAAUUAAUUACCUAGUUUUAUU
Unclassified non-coding RNA from Otolemur garnettii (small-eared galago), 296 nucleotides. Its record names the gene 7SK. It matches the Rfam family "7SK RNA". Rfam says of the family: 7SK was discovered as an abundant small nuclear RNA in the mid-70s but a possible function has only recently been suggested. Two independent studies have found that 7SK RNA binds the CDK9/cyclin T complex (known as elongation factor P-TEFb). P-TEFb activates transcription by phosphorylating the C-terminal domain of RNA polymerase II. The record is from Ensembl. Lineage: Eukaryota; Metazoa; Chordata; Mammalia; Primates; Galagidae.